CGUUAACCCCCCGCCCCGUGGAUAAGACUGAAGCAGCAGUGUUUACCUGACCCCAGGAGGCGCCACCACCCAUCUUAUUUAUGGUAACAGGACUGAAGUUCAGCAUAUAUUGUUAAUCAUGUUCAAGAUCAUGCCGGCAGCACCCGAGCCUCGCCGCCAGGAGAGAGGAGGCAUUAAGGGAGCCAUUUUAAAUGUAUAUUAUGACCCUUUUAAAUGGUCUUUGGUGAAGAGUGUCCUCUUCUUCAUUGUUGGAGUGAAGACUGCUAAUGAUUUUGUUGGAUUUGAUCCCUUGAGCCCAAAUUCUCCAUAAAUAUAUUAUUUUUAUGAGUGGGUAUGUCUGCUGUACGUUUGUGCAUUGAAUAAUACGUAGUUUAAUGGCUUGUUUAAGCGAAACUUAUAAUCAGUGAGUGUCAGGUUUGAAGGCUGUUAAUAAACUGUAACAAAUCAUU
Non-coding RNA from Cherax quadricarinatus, 449 nucleotides. Lineage: Eukaryota; Metazoa; Arthropoda; Malacostraca; Decapoda; Parastacidae. The record is from RefSeq and is a predicted model, not a curated record.